UCAUAUCACAUUGAAGCACCAGUUCUUAUCCGAUCACUGAAGUUAAGCAACAUCGAGCCUGGUCAGUACCUAGAUGGGUGACUGGUUGGGAAUACCAGGUGCUGUAA
This 107-nucleotide ribosomal RNA is filed under the name Acanthosepion pharaonis. The record is from RNAcentral. Lineage: Eukaryota; Metazoa; Mollusca; Cephalopoda; Sepiida; Sepiidae.